GCAACAAACUUUCUUCUAUCUUCUCAGCUAGUCAUUGAACACACCAUGAAAUCUAGGUUAUGUGGACUUAGAUUCUAUCAUCAAGAUUGUGAGUAUUCUUGGGCAAAGGAAAUAGAGAAAACGUUCACCAACAACCGCGCCUUCAUCUCAGUACAUGAUGUGCCAAAAAUAGCUAUGCUGCAUCUCUCAAAACUCCAACAAUUCCUAUGAGGUAGUCAAUUGCAGAUGGCAAGCUUCCCUG
Molecule: unclassified non-coding RNA, 241 nt
Filed under: Hevea brasiliensis (rubber tree)
Lineage: Eukaryota; Viridiplantae; Streptophyta; Magnoliopsida; Malpighiales; Euphorbiaceae
Source: RNAcentral